GUGGGGAAUCUUCCGCAAUGGACGAAAGUCUGACGGAGCAACGCCGCGUGAGUGAAGAAGGUUUUCGGAUCGUAAAGCUCUUUCGUUAGGGACGAACGUGCUCUUUGUGAAUAAUGAGGAGUAAUGACGGUACCUAAAUAAGAAGCCACGGCUAACUACGUGCCAGCAGCCGCGGUAAUACGUAGGUGGCAAGCGUUGUCCGGAAUUAUUGGGCGUAAAGCGCGAGCAGGCGGGAUAUCAAGUCUGUCUUAAAAGUGCGAGGCUCAACCUCGUGAGGGGACAGAAACUGGUAUUCUUGAGUGUCGGAGAGGAAAGUGGAAUUCCAAGUGUAGCGGUGAAAUGCGUAGAGAUUUGGAAGAACACCAGUGGCGAAGGCGACUUUCUGGACGAUGUCUGACGCUGAGGCGCGAAAGCUAGGGGAGCGAACGGGAUUAGAUACCCUAGUAGUCC
RNAcentral lists this ribosomal RNA (450 nucleotides) under uncultured bacterium. RNAcentral describes it as "partial 16S ribosomal RNA". It matches the Rfam family "Bacterial small subunit ribosomal RNA", at positions 354 to 796 of the family's 1533-position model. The record is from RNAcentral.